Long non-coding RNA from Esox lucius (northern pike), 1384 nucleotides. NCBI's taxonomy places the organism in Eukaryota, Metazoa, Chordata, Actinopteri, Esociformes, Esocidae. The record is from Ensembl.
AACAAAUUGACAUUUUAGAAAACAAAAUAACAUUUUAGAAACCAAAAUAACAAGACGCAAAACACUUUUACCAGUCCCGAAACAAAUUUACAAAUGAUAGAUUAUUCACGGAAAGGGAAUGUACCACAUACCGGAAGUGACUAGGUGAAAGCGGGUGAUAGGUGUUGUUGGUGAGCGCGGUCAAUUCGUGUUGUCGUAUGAAGUUUAAUGAAGUUUUUGGUGACUGAACAUGGACUCCGGCCGAGGAAUGUUUUGCCCGUUUUGUGGCAAACACAUGACCAGCUUAACGCGGUUCUGCUUUGCGUGUGGUCGUUGUUUGGAGUUUUUAAAAGACGUGGACCAGACAGAAAAACCAAACAUAAUGCAUCAUUGCGUUCAAUAUUUUAACGAGGGCCACUCGUACGCUGUAAUCGUGGACAUGAUGUCAAGUCUACACGGUGUAAACAUCAGCUUGAGGACUCUUAAAAGUAAACUGAACGAAGCCGGGUUGUACCGCAGGAAGGAUUAUUCCUCUCCAAAUGCCGUGCGUAACGCCAUCAGAUCUGAACUUCGUGGACCUGGACAACUGUUUGGUUACCGCUCGAUGUGGCAAGUACUUAAACAAAAGUACAAUAUUCGAGUGAAGAGAGAUGAUGUGAUGAAUUUCCUCCGGGAGCUUAAUCCUCGAGGGUGUGAGAACAGAGCACGCAGGAGGUUUACAAGAAGAACCUAUCACUCAAUGGGACCUAACUAUAUGUGGCACGCAGAUGGUUAUGACAAACUUAAGCCAUUCGGUUUGGCCAUUUCGGGAUGCAUAGAUGGAUUUUCACGUAAAGUAUUGUGGCUUGAAUGUGGACCAACAAAUAACAACCCAACAGUGAUUGCUCACUAUUUCAUGUCAUGUGUGCGAAACCUCGGUGUCAUCCCCAUGAGACUGAGGACUGAUUGCGGCACUGAGAAUGGAAUAAUGGCUGCAAUUCAAUGUACCCUACGCCACCAUCACAGUGACUACUACUCUGGAGCGUCCAGCCACAUGUACGGCUCAUCUAUGAAUAACCAGCGUUAUUGAGUCCUGGUGGUCUAUAUUUAGAAAGGGAAGGUCUCAGUUCUGGAUGGAGUUAUUUGCAGACCUUAGAGAUGCUGGAUACUUCAACGGGAGCCAUGAGCAUCAGUGCCUAUUGAGGUAUUGCUUCGGUGACGUUCUUCAGAAGGACCUGGAUGAGUGUGUGAAACUGUGGAACAGUCACAGGAUUCGCCCUUCCAGAACAGCAGCAUGUCCAGGAGGAGUGCCCCAUGAACUCUACUACUUACCACACAGGUUUGGCUCCAGAGACUGUGGAUUUCGAAUUGAACAGGCUGAACUGGAUGCCCUUCCUGAGGCUAGCCUGUCAAUGACUCCUUGUGG